Molecule: long non-coding RNA, 848 nt
Filed under: Sus scrofa (pig)
Lineage: Eukaryota; Metazoa; Chordata; Mammalia; Artiodactyla; Suidae
Description: lncRNA (ENSSSCG00060010158.1)
Source: RNAcentral
AGUUUGAUGGCAUCUAAAGAAAUCUGUUGCCAUGCAGUAGUGAGACUCUCCAUGGCAACUUGAAGUCGGGGCCCCUCAGGACUCUGGGGGGGCCACAGUGAGCUCUUCUUCGAACUGCAUCCACCCUCCCUGGGAUGAGCUGCCUCAUGAGGAUCUUUGUCACCAGCGCUUGGGGAGCACCUCCAAAGAGACCCCCUUCUCUGCCCGUGUGCCCCCAUCCAGGACAGCUCCCGUGCCCUUCUGUCUUUGUCUUAAACCCAACCCAGCCAUCCUCAGAAGCUUCCUCCGAGCUGCCCCUUAUGUUGCCUUUCUCAAUCGUUUUGACAAGAAACACCAGCAGGAACAGUCAAGACUUGGAAGAAAUCGGAUUGGGUCAGAAAGAAGGGGGACCUUGGAUAAUGACAGUAAUUGUCACAACUUCCAAUCUUCCUCAAGCUUUAGAGUUCAGGACUCUGGAUCCCCUCACCAAGGCCACGGCACCAGAGAGGAUGAAAAGGGCCGAUGUUGCAUCUCAGCUGCCCUCUUAGCUGACUAGCCGCACGGAAAAAAAGCUCCUGGAUUUUGACUGGCUCUUCCACCUGCUCACCUGCUCCAGCCCUGAGGCAAGAAUGGCUGUGCUACCCAUGUCACCACACCUGAAGCACCCAGCUGCCCUUCCAGGACCAGCCUCAAAUCCAGACAAGUGACAGACUCACGGGGGGCAGGCGCCAGUGUGAGUGGAAAUCACUGGAUCGAUGAUCAAGGGGAUUGUUGCCCAGCUUUCAGUGGCGCGUUGGAGUCUUUUGAGGAAUUCAUCUUGAAACCCGGGAUUUAUUGAGAGCUAAAAGGUUUUUGAAGUUUCCAGUGUU